GACGAACGCUGGCGGCGUGCUUAACACAUGCAAGUCGAACGGAAAGGCCCUGCUUUUGUGGGGUGCUCGAGUGGCGAACGGGUGAGUAACACGUGAGUAACCUGCCCUUGACUUUGGGAUAACUUCAGGAAACUGGGGCUAAUACCGGAUAGGAGCUCCUGCUGCAUGGUGGGGGUUGGAAAGUUUCGGCGGUUGGGGAUGGACUCGCGGCUUAUCAGCUUGUUGGUGGGGUAGUGGCUUACCAAGGCUUUGACGGGUAGCCGGCCUGAGAGGGUGACCGGCCACGUUGGGACUGAGAUACGGCCCAGACUCCUACGGGAGGCAGCAGUGGAGAAUAGUGCACAAUGGGCGGAAGCCUGAUGCAGCAACGCCGCGUGCGGGAUGACGGCCUUCGGGUUGUAAACCGCUUUCGCCUGGGACGAAGCGUGAGUGACGGUAAUGGGUAAAGAAGCACCGGCUAACUACGUG
Molecule: ribosomal RNA, 468 nt
Filed under: uncultured bacterium
Lineage: Bacteria
Description: partial 16S ribosomal RNA
Rfam family: Bacterial small subunit ribosomal RNA
Source: RNAcentral